RNAcentral lists this signal recognition particle RNA (100 nucleotides) under Petrotoga sp. Its description in RNAcentral is "signal recognition particle sRNA small type". It matches the Rfam family "Bacterial small signal recognition particle RNA". Rfam says of the family: The signal recognition particle (SRP) is a universally conserved ribonucleoprotein involved in the co-translational targeting of proteins to membranes. Archaeal SRP consists of a 7S RNA and homologues of the eukaryotic SRP19 and SRP54 proteins. RNAcentral also lists the same sequence under 1 other name. Lineage: Bacteria; Thermotogati; Thermotogota; Thermotogae; Petrotogales; Petrotogaceae. The record is from RNAcentral.
GGCUGGGUCCUGCGCAAUAGGAACCCGUGAAACUGGUCAGGCCCGGAAGGGAGCAGCCAUAAGCGGAGAUUUCUAUGUGCAGCAGGGAAACCCAGCCAUC